GAUGAACGCUGGCGGCGUGCCUAAUACAUGCAAGUCGAGCGAACAGAUGAGGAGCUUGCUCCUCUGACGUUAGCGGCGGACGGGUGAGUAACACGUGGAUAACCUACCUAUAAGACUGGGAUAACUUCGGGAAACCGGAGCUAAUACCGGAUAAUAUAUUGAACCGCAUGGUUCAAUAGUGAAAGACGGUUUUGCUGUCACUUAUAGAUGGAUCCGCGCCGCAUUAGCUAGUUGGUAAGGUAACGGCUUACCAAGGCAACGAUGCGUAGCCGACCUGAGAGGGUGGCCGCACACUGGGGCAUAAGAACGCGACCGAACCUCCUCGGGGGGGGCGAAGGGGGAGAUCUUCCGAAAGGGGCGAAGGCCGGAGGGACAAGCCGGGGGAGAUAAAUAAAAGUUUUGAGUACUAAAACCUUUUUUAUGAGAAAAAAAAAAAUGUGUAAAUACAUAUGCACGUCUGAAGGUCCCCUAACAGGAAGCCCAGGACAAACACGGGC
Molecule: ribosomal RNA, 497 nt
Filed under: uncultured bacterium
Lineage: Bacteria
Description: partial 16S ribosomal RNA
Rfam family: Bacterial small subunit ribosomal RNA
Source: RNAcentral